Molecule: RNA transcript, 4139 nt
Organism: Pangasianodon hypophthalmus (striped catfish)
Lineage: Eukaryota; Metazoa; Chordata; Actinopteri; Siluriformes; Pangasiidae
Gene name: retinoic acid-induced protein 1
Exons: 6
Source: RefSeq, a predicted model, not a curated record
UGAAGGCCGUUAAAACGUUCCUGUCGGCCAUCUUAAAACUGUUAGCGCUCUGAGUCACAGUGUUCAGCUAAUUGUUUAAAUAAUAUAAAAAAUCUAUAUACUAUAUAUGUCAUUUAUAUUUAUUUAUAUAAUUCAGUUUUAUCGUAUGAUUUUACACAAGAAUAUUUUUUAUUCACCACUUUGUGCCUUUAGUGUUGUUCCUGAGCUCGGUGAAUUGGACAUAUUUCUCCGUUAUGGAUCCUCUGAGCUGGCUGAACGUCAUGCAGCUUCAGGAUCCGCUUCCCAAACCUCUGGAUCUCACCAAGCAGAUCUCCGAGGCUCUGGAUCUGGUGAAGAAGAAGCCGAGCCGGAGCGACCGCGCCUCAGGGACCGACAGUAUCCGUUCUCCUCGCUCGGAGUCCACGCUGCCAAACGGACUCGUCCACGAACCUGCGGAGACGCCGAUAACCGCUUCGGGGAACAAGUGGCGCAGGACGGGAGAGGAAAGAAGAGAAAGGAACGGCGCAGGACUUCAGGACACUCCUUCAUCACAACAGCGUUCCCGGUUCCCGUUACCUCCCGUCGAAACCUUGGCGUCGGAGUGUUCCGGAUCCGGACACGCGGACUGCGUUUCCAGCGACGACAGCGGCGCGAUCGAGGUGCCUUUCAGCGUUCCGAUUAGCAACGGCACCUCGCUGAUACGGAGAGAUACAGAAAACGAGAAACGGAAAAAAGAAAGCAUGGGAAAUUCCUCUCCGAGCCUGACGGAAUGGGAUGCGCUCCAGGAUAGCGACUCGGUGGAAUCCAGAAACGUACCGUCCACCUCAGAAGCAGAAAACGCCGACUUCUGUAAAGCAGCACAGAACGGAUCCGGAUCAUCAUCAUCAUCAUCAUCAUCGUCGUCAUCAUCAUCAUCGUCGUCGUCGAGCCAGAAGAUGGCGCCAGCGACUAAGAAAACCAGAAACCAGCAGCGCUCGAGGUCUUCAGCAGGCAAGAAAGCAACAGCGAGCGCGGCGAAGAGGAGGAAGAAGAAGAAGCAGCAGCGCUCCGGGUUAUCGUCGCCGCCGUCCGCGUUUCCUUCCCACGAACCCGAGAUCAAGCUGAAGUACGCGAGCUGCAAGGAGGAGAAGCGAGAAGGCAGAGGGAACACCUUCGCCCCGUACGUCCGUAUGGAGUUCUCCGCCUGCACCGUCGUCAACUCCGAGGAAGACGGCGAGUUGAAGGCGAGGAAGCAGCGACAGGCCGCGGCGUCGCCCGGGAUCGUUCCCACCACGUCGUGUUUACAGCUGGGACGCCUCGGGUCAGAGGGCAGGCGUCAGAGCGGCGAGCUGUGCUGCCUGUGCGGACGGACCGCCAACGCCGCGGGUUUGGGGGACCUGCACGGACCGUACCGUCCCUGCGGACCUGACGGGAAGACGUCCGCGGAUCUGCUGACGAACGGACACGAGGACGCCGGCGCAAAGAGGAAGUGGACGUCGGACGAGGUCGGAGAACGCUGGGUUCACGAGGACUGCGGUAUCUGGUCAGCGGGCGUUUUCCUCGUUAAAGGAAGGCUGUACGGACUGGACGAGGCGGUCAGGCUCGCGCAACAAGCCGUUUGCUCGUGUUGCCACAGAUGUGGUGCCACGCUGGGAUGCUUCUUCAAGGGCUGCCCCAGUAAAUACCACUUCCCCUGCGCUCUCCAGGCUGAAUGUGUGUUUAAUGAGGAAAACUUUACUCUGAGAUGUCCAAAGCACAAGAAUAAAUCGGGACUCGGCGCGAGCAGACUGCAGAACAGGUGACGCUGUAAAAGCUGGGGAUUUUUAUUCAUUCUUUAUUCAUUUAAUUUUAUUUAAUUUUAUUCAAAGUUUUUUUUUUCUUUCAGAUUAAAAUUAGAUUUAAAACAAUGUUUAUAGAUGUUUAAGUUGUAAUGAUGUUAUUUUAUUUUACUUUAUUGCAAUUAAUUUUUUUUUUUUUUUAAUUUUUAAAAAAAUUUAAACAUAAAUACAUAAUAAUCGUAUAACGAUGGAUCGUUUGCAGAUUUAUAGAAAUCAACAAUAAUUUACAAAAUCGCUUUUUUCCUUUUUUUCCCAUUUAUUUUAUUUACUUAUGUAUUUAUGUAUUUACUGGUUCUUUCUUUCUUUUCUCUCUCUCUCUCUCUCCAUCUUUUUCUCGCUUUUUUCUUUCUCUUUUGCAUUAUUGUUGUCUUUUUUUUGUUUUCUUACUUAUUUUUAACCAAUUUUCAGUUUUUCAUUUUUUCCCAUUUCAUUAUUUAUGUGUUUGUUUGCUGGUUUCCUUUCUUUCUUUCUUUCUUUCAGUAUAAAACAUUUUUCUGUUUUUUCCUCUUAUCUCAUUUAUUUAUUUAUUUACUCAUUUAUUGGUUUUCUUUCUUGUUCUUUUUGUUCUUGUUCUCUCUCUCUCUGUUCUUUCUCUUGUUCUUUUUUCUCUAUCUUUCUCUCAUUCUAUCACAUAUUUACUCUUUCUGUUUUUAACAUAUUUUCAUUUUUUGUUAGUUUUAGUUUUUUAAUAUACAGAAAACCCCUGCGUAAUGUGCUCAUUCUACUACGUUACCGUUUCUAUAGUAACAGCUCGUUCUACUACGUUACCGUUUCUAUAGUAACAGCUCGUUCUAAUACGUUACCGUUUCUAUAGUAACAGCUCGUUCUACUACGUUACCGUUUCUAUAGUAACAGCUCGGUCUAAUACGUUACCGUUUCUGUAGUAACAGCUCGUUCUACUACGUUACCGUUUCUAUAGUAACAGCUCGGUCUAAUACGUUACCGUUUCUAUAGUAACAGCUCGUUCUACUACGUUACCGUUUCUAUAGUAACAGCUCGGUCUAAUACGUUACCGUUUCUGUAGUAACAGCUCGUUCUACUACGUUACCGUUUCUAUAGUAACAGCUCGGUCUAAUACGUUACCGUUUCUGUAGUAACAGCUCGUUCUACUACGUUACCGUUUCUAUAGUAACAGCUCGGUCUAAUACGUUACCGUUUCUGUAGUAACAGCUCGGUCUCAUGGACUUCACAUAAACAGGGUAAAAAAUCUGUGUACUUGUUGAUACUGUGAAGUUUCUGUAAGGAGAUUUUAUUUAACAUUUUUGGAAGGAGUCUCCAGCGUCAGAGAUAAAGCUGUAACUUUAAGUUUUCUGACAUCUUUGCUUGCUUUGUUUCUCAGUAACACGACAAGCUGUGACUUCUUUUUUUUUUUUUUUUUGUAUUAUUAAACGUCAAGAGAGAGAAAAAGAGGCUGAUGAGGGAGCGACUGUUUAUAGCUGCUGUAACGUGAACUCCAGCGUGAUUUUCAUGGUUCGGAGUGAGAGUUUACAUCAGGGUUUUUUUUUUUCUUCUCUUCUACAUAAACUACUGAAGUGUUUACAUUUUCCUCACCUGCAGAGGAACGUCUCUGAAACCGAACUGCCUUCUCCUUCACUGCCGCUGCCUUUUUUAAAUAAAUAAAUAAAUACCCGGUUGUUUUGAGAGCGCUGAAGGAUCAUCACACUGUUCCACCGAGCGGAUUUUAUUCAGCCACGCCUCAUUCCUUUAUCGUAUUUCAGAGCCUGAUGUUCCUUCAACUUGUUUUUUAUAAUGUGUUUUUUUUUAAUUUUUUUUAUUGUUUUGUUUUUUCCAUCAAAAGGGUGUUCACGUUUUUUCUUUCUUUUUUUUUUUUUUUUUUGACUUUAUACUUGACAAAAACAGGUGCUGGAUUUCUUUUUAAAAUGUGAUCUAUACAGAUUUUUAUGAUUUAAAUGUUAGUGGUAAUCGUUUGGACUGUUAAGAUUUUUACUCUCGAGAUUUUCCGGUCCUUUGCUCUGUGUGUGACGCCAGUCGGUGAUGCCGGACGUGUCGAGUCUUUUCGCAUGGUACCGUAUGCACUAUAUGUGAACAUAUUUAUGGUUUAUUUAUGUCUGAUUCAUGCGUAUGUGUAUUUAUUCACAGAUGAACAACCUCAGCUGAAAAGACUUUCUGGCACUUUAGAAAUGCAGGGAUUUUUAUUAUUAUUAUUAUUAUUAUUAUUAUUAUUAUUAUUAUUCAGGUGAUCAGACAUGACGUCUGUGUGUCUGUUGCACAUUUUGUCCAGGAGACAAACUUUAAGGCCUGAGAUUGGCAGAAAAUGUGUGUAGGAUUUCACCCUAUGCCUUUUUUUUAUGUCUAAGUUCUAAUAAAUAUUUUUAAACUCUG